CAGCAGCCGCGGUAAUACGUAGGUGGCAAGCGUUGUCCGGAAUUAUUGGGCGUAAAGCGCGCGCAGGUGGUUUAAUAAGUCUGAUGUGAAAGCCCACGGCUCAACCGUGGAGGGUCAUUGGAAACUGUUAAACUUGAGUGCAGGAGAGAAAAGUGGAAUUCCUAGUGUAGCGGUGAAAUGCGUAGAGAUUAGGAGGAACACCAGUGGCGAAGGCGGCUUUUUGGCCUGUAACUGACACUGAGGCGCGAAAGCGUGGGGAGCAAACAGGAUUAGAUACCCGAGUAGUCCCUGUCUCUUAUAC
RNAcentral lists this ribosomal RNA (301 nucleotides) under uncultured bacterium. RNAcentral's name for it is "partial 16S ribosomal RNA". It matches the Rfam family "Bacterial small subunit ribosomal RNA", at positions 509 to 807 of the family's 1533-position model. The record is from RNAcentral.